ACUAGUUUUUUACGACUCGAAUUAAUAUGCGUUUGAGGAAAGUCCGGGCUUCGCAGGGCAGGAUGCCGGAUAACGUCCGGUGGAGGCAACUCUAAGGAAAGUGCAACAGAAAGUAUACUACCAUAUGUAUAUAUGGAAAAGGUGAAAUGGCAGUGUAAGAGACUACCGCUUAUCUGGUAACAGAUAGGGCAUUGUAAACCCCAUCCGAAGCAACUCGAAUAUGAGUAGAUACGGCGGCCCGUCGUUACUCAUGGUAUGAGGCUUGAGACAAUUGGCGACAGUUGUAAUAGAUAGAUGAUCACUCUAGACAGAACCCGGCUUAUU
Molecule: RNase P RNA, 324 nt
Filed under: bovine gut metagenome
Description: Bacterial RNase P class A
Rfam family: Bacterial RNase P class A
About the family: Ribonuclease P (RNase P) is a ubiquitous endoribonuclease, found in archaea, bacteria and eukarya as well as chloroplasts and mitochondria. Its best characterised activity is the generation of mature 5'-ends of tRNAs by cleaving the 5'-leader elements of precursor-tRNAs.
Source: RNAcentral